RNAcentral lists this ribosomal RNA (429 nucleotides) under Chloroflexota bacterium. RNAcentral describes it as "Chloroflexi bacterium partial 16S ribosomal RNA". It matches the Rfam family "Bacterial small subunit ribosomal RNA", at positions 355 to 776 of the family's 1533-position model. Lineage: Bacteria; Bacillati; Chloroflexota. The record is from RNAcentral.
UAGGGAAUCUUCGGCAAUGGACGAAAGUCUGACCGAGCAACGCCGCGUGAGUGAAGAAGGUUUUCGGAUCGUAAAACUCUGUUGUUAGAGAAGAACAAGGACGUUAGUAACUGAACGUCCCCUGACGGUAUCUAACCAGAAAGCCACGGCUAACUACGUGCCAGCAGCCGCGGUAAUACGUAGGUGGCAAGCGUUGUCCGGAUUUAUUGGGUGUAAAGCGAGCGCAGGCGGUUUCUUAAGUCUGAUGUGAAAGCCCCCGGCUCAACCGGGGAGGGUCAUUGGAAGCUGGGAGACUUGAGUGCAGAAGAGGAGAGUGGAAUUCCAUGUGUAGCGGUGAAAUGCGUAGAUAUAUGGGGGAAGAACAGUGGCGAAGGCGGCUCUCUGGUCUGUAACAGACGCUGAGGCUCGAAAGCAUGGGGAGCAAACAGG